UGGGGAAUAUUGCACAAUGGACGGAAGUUUGAUGCAGCGACGCCGCGUGGAGGGUGUAGGCCUUCGGGUUGUGAACUCCUUUUUCUCGCGAAAAAGGCACAGUUUUGGCUGUGUUGAUGGUAGUGGGGGAAGAAGCGCCGGCUAACUACGUGCCAGCAGCCGCGGUAAUACGUAGGGCGCGAGCGUUGUCCGGAUUUAUUGGGCGUAAAGAGCUCGUAGGUGGUUCGUCGCGUCUGUCGUGAAAGCCAGCAGCUUAACUGUUGGUCUGCGGUGGGUACGGGCGGGCUUGAGUGCGGGAGGGGUGACUGGAAUUCCUGGUGUAGCGGUGGAAUGCGGAGAUAUCAGGAGGAACACCGAUGGCGAAGGCAGGUCACUGGGACGUUACUGACACUGAGGAGCGAAAGCGUGGGGAGCGAACAGG
This 421-nucleotide ribosomal RNA is filed under the name Fusobacteriota bacterium. RNAcentral's name for it is "Fusobacteria bacterium partial 16S ribosomal RNA". It matches the Rfam family "Bacterial small subunit ribosomal RNA", at positions 355 to 776 of the family's 1533-position model. The record is from RNAcentral. Lineage: Bacteria; Fusobacteriati; Fusobacteriota.